UACGUAGGUGGCAAGCGUUGUCCGGAUUUAUUGGGUUUAAAGGGUGCGUAGGUGGCCCUGUAAGUCAGUGGUGAAAUAUCUCAGCUUAACUGAGAGGGUGCCAUUGAUACUGCAGGGCUUGAGUACAGAUGAGGUAGGCGGAAUUGACGGUGUAGCGGUGAAAUGCAUAGAUAUCGUCAAGAACACCGAUAGCGAAGGCGGCUUACCAAGCUGUAACUGACACUGAGGCACGAAAGUGUGGGGAUCAAACAGG
RNAcentral lists this ribosomal RNA (253 nucleotides) under uncultured bacterium. RNAcentral's name for it is "partial 16S ribosomal RNA". It matches the Rfam family "Bacterial small subunit ribosomal RNA", at positions 524 to 776 of the family's 1533-position model. The record is from RNAcentral.